Gigantopelta aegis is the source of this 267-nucleotide long non-coding RNA. RefSeq lists it as uncharacterized. The record is from RefSeq and is a predicted model, not a curated record. Lineage: Eukaryota; Metazoa; Mollusca; Gastropoda; Neomphalida; Peltospiridae. The transcript has 3 exons.
CAGACGACAGUGGAAUAGCUGUGGGAGAGCAGAAUUGUAUGCGUGUAUGUUUGGCCAGGCGUUCCCGAUGUCACGUGACCGAAUGAAUGACGUCAUCACCCGACCUGCUGUCAUCGAGAACAAUGAACAAUGUCAUGUGUCGGAAGGUUCUUUUCACUGUACACAUCUUCAGUGGUAGGGUGGAAUAACCUGAGGAAGGAAGCAUCGCCAUUCUAUUUGUUGAUAGCUAGAUUACUGUGUGUACAUAUGAUGAUACGGCUAGACCGG